Molecule: ribosomal RNA, 479 nt
Filed under: uncultured bacterium
Lineage: Bacteria
Description: partial 16S ribosomal RNA
Rfam family: Bacterial small subunit ribosomal RNA
Source: RNAcentral
GAUGAACGCUAGCGGGAGGCCUAACACAUGCAAGCCGAGCGGUAGAGUUCCUUCGGGAACUUGAGAGCGGCGUACGGGUGCGUAACACGUGUGCAACCUACCUUUAUCUGGGGGAUAGCCUUUCGAAAGGAAGAUUAAUACCCCAUAAUAUAAUGAUUGGCAUCAAUUAUUAUUGAAAACUCCGGUGGAUAGAGAUGGGCACGCGCAAGAUUAGAUAGUUGGUGAGGUAACGGCUCACCAAGUCAAUGAUCUUUAGGGGUCCUGAGAGGGAGAUCCCCCACACUGGUACUGAGACACGGACCAGACUCCUACGGGAGGCAGCAGUGAGGAAUAUUGGACAAUGGGUGAAAGCCUGAUCCAGCCAUCCCGCGUGAAGGAUGACGGUCCUAUGGAUUGUAAACUUCUUUUGGACAGGGAUAAACCUACUCUCGUGAGGGUAGCUGAAGGUACUGUACGAAUAAGCACCGGCUAACUCCGUG